CCUACGGGAUGCAGCAGUGGGGGAUAUUGCACAAUGGGGGGAACCCUGAUGCAGCGACGCCGCGUGGGUGAAGGAGUGCUUCGGCAUGUAAAGCCCUAUCGGCAGGGAAGAAGCCAGACGGUACCUGACUAAGACUCCCCGGCUAACUACGUGCCAGCAGCCGCGGCAAUACGUAGGGGGCGAGCGUUAUCCGGAUUCACUGGGUGUAAAGGGAGCGUAGACGGCCAUGCAAGCCAGGGGUGAAAGCCCGGGGCCCAACCCCGGGACUGCCCUUGGAACUGCAUGGCUGGAGGGCGGGAGGGGCAGGCGGAAUUCCUGGUGUAGCGGUGAAAUGCGUAGAUAUCAGGAGGAACACCGGCGGCGAAGGCGGCCUGCGGGACCGCGACUGACGUUGAGGCUCGAAAGCGUGGGGAGCGAACAGGAUUAGAUACCCCUGUC
This 438-nucleotide ribosomal RNA is filed under the name uncultured bacterium. RNAcentral's name for it is "partial 16S ribosomal RNA". It matches the Rfam family "Bacterial small subunit ribosomal RNA", at positions 338 to 792 of the family's 1533-position model. The record is from RNAcentral.